CUCAAAGGGCGAGAGUGGGUGGCUGGGCCUCUGCCGGCGAGGGUCCGUGACCGUGCUGCAGCCGGGAGGAGGCAAGUUGGGGGCGGGGCUCUGGUGGCCGAAGCCAGUGGUGGAGCCGCGCUGUCGGAGCGCCGCUGCUUUUGGAGUCUGCGGAGGUGUACAGUGACAUCCUGAGAGAAGAUGGGAAAGGGCUGCAAGGUUGUGGUUUGUGGCUUGUUGUCUGUGGGGAAAACAGCAAUUUUGGAGCAGCUCCUUUAUGGGAAUCAUACAAUUGGAAUGGAAGAUUGUGAAACGAUGGAAGAUGUAUAUAUGGCUUCAGUGGAAACGGAUCGGGGAGUAAAGGAACAGUUACAUCUUUAUGAUACCAGAGGCUUACAGGAAGGUGUGGAGCUACCAAAGCAUUAUUUUUCAUUUGCUGAUGGCUUUGUUCUUGUGUACAGUGUGAAUAACCUUGAAUCCUUUCAAAGAGUGGAGCUUCUGAAGAAAGAAAUUGAUAAGUUUAAAGACAAAAAAGAGGUAGCGAUUGUUGUGUUAGGAAACAAAAUCGACCUUUCUGAGCAGAGACAAGUAGAUGCUGAGGUGGCACAGCAAUGGGCAAGAAGUGAGAAAGUGCGACUGUGGGAGGGGAAGGUCAAUAAAAACUGGAAAGUUCAAGGCUAAGACGAACAUCCAGCUGUGUUCACAUGACUAUUCCUUCAGGGCAAUACUGUGGUCCUCUGGGCUGUUGCAGUGUAACACUAGUUACCCGGAAAAAACCAGGGUGCCAGGUCACAACCUGGACCUCAACAAAUACCCUGUCUACCUAGGUCACAGAAUUCACUGUAAUGGAGUCUCAACAGGUGAGGAGCCAGAAUUGGGCAAGGAUCACAGCAGUAGACAAAUCAACACAAGCCAUGGGAGCCUCGAUUGCUUUUUUUUGGUUUCCUAAUUCCAAAGUAAAAAUUAUCAUUUAGUAAAUGAGAAUCAUAGAUUAUAGAGUGUCACGGGAGAUAGGAUCCUAGAUGAGAAAACUGAAGCCUGGAGAUUAAGAAUGUGACGAGACCAAAAAAGGACGAGAAACAUGGAUACUUUGACAGUAACUUCUUUUCUGUUGAGUGGAAAACGGGAUUAAUUCUGAGUUGCUAUGUCACUAUAAACAGCAGGAUUUUAAGCACCAUCAAAACAAAGCACAUACUUCUAGAAAUGGUCUCUGCCAAGUGGCGAAGCUGCCCCCCACCCCUGCAGUGUCUUGUGUCCAUCCUAACGUACUUAGAGAUUCAUUGAGACGACAGAAAUCUCUUUUGUGAUUAAAACUCAAUUUUAAACACUUCAAUAGUUUCUCAUGGGAAUAUGUAAAUCUGAAUAUAAAUCAGGAAAUUCUUACCUUUGGAGGCUUGAAGGGGUAUUCAGGUGUAAAAGUGAUAUCAAGGAAGAAUACACCCCCUUCAUACACGGAUCCUGGAGGCCCUAGAAUGGUUGAUCUCCAUUCAUAGAUGUUAUCGCCUUUGGGACCAGCACUGUGAAAUAAUACAUCAAAAGGUUCUCACUUGGAAAGUUAGACCUGCUGGUCUGGAAGGUGGGUAGAGAGACCUACAGUAGAGAGAGUGGUUUACAACUCUCAGAGGGCCACUGUGAAGGAGAACUGGGAGCAAGAGAAUGCGUGAGACACGUGUACAGGGAAAGGUCUGUUCCAGCACCCCACCCUUUUCUCUAUAAAAUGACUGACUAGCUUUA
Herpailurus yagouaroundi (jaguarundi) is the source of this 1713-nucleotide RNA transcript. It is a transcript of the gene named NFKB inhibitor interacting Ras like 1, with no coding region annotated. The record is from RefSeq and is a predicted model, not a curated record. The transcript is spliced from 7 exons. Lineage: Eukaryota; Metazoa; Chordata; Mammalia; Carnivora; Felidae.